This 310-nucleotide long non-coding RNA is filed under the name Mytilus galloprovincialis (Mediterranean mussel). The record is from RNAcentral. Lineage: Eukaryota; Metazoa; Mollusca; Bivalvia; Mytilida; Mytilidae.
AUAUAUAAAACAAGAAUGUGUCCAUAGUACACGGAUGCCCCACUCGCACUAUCAUUUUACGUGUUCACUGGACCGUGAAAUUGGGGUCAAUACUUUAAUUUGACAUUAAAAUUAGAAAGAUCAUAUCAUAGGGAACAUGUGUACUAAGUUUCAAAUUGAUUGGACUUCAACUUCAUUAAAAACUACCUCGACCAAAAACUUUAACCUGAAGUGGGACGAACGAACGGACGAACGAACGAACGGACGAACGGAGGCACAGACCAGAAAACAUAAUGCCCCUCUACUAUCGUAGGUGGGGCAUAAAAAAAGU